RNAcentral lists this ribosomal RNA (274 nucleotides) under uncultured bacterium. RNAcentral's name for it is "partial 16S ribosomal RNA". It matches the Rfam family "Bacterial small subunit ribosomal RNA", at positions 523 to 796 of the family's 1533-position model. The record is from RNAcentral.
AUACGGAGGGUGCAAGCGUUAAUCGGAAUUACUGGGCGUAAAGCGUACGUAGGCGGCAAGUUAAGUUAGAUGUGAAAGCCCCGGGCUCAACCUGGGAACUGCAUUUAAAACUGGCUUGCUAGAGUUGGGUAGAGGGGAGUGGAAUUUCAGGUGUAGCGGUGAAAUGCGUAGAGAUCUGAAGGAACACCAGUGGCGAAGGCGACUCCCUGGACUCGAACUGACGCUGAGGUACGAAAGCGUGGGUAGCAAACGGGAUUAGAAACCCUAGUAGUCC